GGGGGAUAUUGCACAAUGGACGGAAGUCUGACGCAGCAACGCCGCGUGCGGGAUGAAGGCCUUCGGGUUGUAAACCGCUUUCGGCAGGGACGAAGGGUUUCUGACGGUACCUGCAGAAGAAGCACCAGCUAACUACGUGCCAGCAGCCGCGGUGAUACGUAGGGUGCGAGCGUUGUCCGGAAUUAUUGGGCGUAAAGAGCUUGUAGGCGGUCUGUCGCGUCGGAAGUGAAAACUCAGGGCUCAACCCUGAGCCUGCUUUCGAUACGGGCAGACUUGAGGAAUGUAGGGGAGAACGGAAUUCCUGGUGGAGCGGUGGAAUGCGCAGAUAUCAGGAGGAACACCAGUGGCGAAGGCGGUUCUCUGGGCAUUUCCUGACGCUGAGAAGCGAAAGCGUGGGGAGCAAACA
This 406-nucleotide ribosomal RNA is filed under the name uncultured Propionibacteriaceae bacterium. Its description in RNAcentral is "bacterial SSU rRNA". It matches the Rfam family "Bacterial small subunit ribosomal RNA", at positions 356 to 774 of the family's 1533-position model. The record is from RNAcentral. Lineage: Bacteria; Bacillati; Actinomycetota; Actinomycetes; Propionibacteriales; Propionibacteriaceae.